GGCCCGUUGGUCAAGUGGUCUAAGACACCGGCCUUUCACGCCGGUAACAGGGGUUCGAAUCCCCUACGGGUCACCA
RNAcentral lists this transfer RNA (76 nucleotides) under Calderihabitans maritimus. RNAcentral describes it as "tRNA-Glu". It matches the Rfam family "tRNA". From Rfam's summary of the family: Transfer RNA (tRNA) molecules are approximately 80 nucleotides in length. RNAcentral also lists the same sequence under 5 other names. Lineage: Bacteria; Bacillati; Bacillota; Clostridia; Neomoorellales; Calderihabitantaceae. The record is from RNAcentral.